Erigeron canadensis is the source of this 2885-nucleotide long non-coding RNA. RefSeq lists it as uncharacterized. The transcript has 8 exons. NCBI's taxonomy places the organism in Eukaryota, Viridiplantae, Streptophyta, Magnoliopsida, Asterales, Asteraceae. The record is from RefSeq and is a predicted model, not a curated record.
CUUUUUUUUUGUCAGGUAUGAAAAAGAUAAUAUUCCUAAGAAGUUACAUGUCCUGGAAGGAAAGAAGUCUCGAGAAGAAUCCAUGCUUGAAAGGGUAAUAAAAAAAUUAGGAACUCUUGGCUGAAAUGAAUAAAACUGAUGAUGUGAAGUACUGAAGUGUGAUCAAGAUUAAAUUAUGACGUGAUUUCGAGGAAAACUUGAGGUACCGGGAGAUAAAGGCAAAAGUAGACAGAUCUCAUGGUACUGUGGCUGUAUAUCAGGAGGCUAUAUUGAAGAAUAAAGUGGAUCUAGAAAUACCUGAAUAUAAGGAAAUUGACAAGUGUUAUUUUGAUCAGAUAAGCGAGAUGGAUAACAAGGAUUUAUAUAACCAUUACAAUGCACUUUACAGGAUUUGAGGUUGAUCCUUUGUCAUCUUGGAUAAAGAGGCCCGGAAGUUUGGGUGAAGGUAGCGAACCUUCAUAACCCAACAUGGAAACUACAAACGGAGUGCUAGGUCUAUCUUCCGGUCGUUGUUGCACACAUAAUAGACCGAGGUGUACUGAUCGCAACACUUCAGAAGCCGAAUAUGACUUGCCUAAAGAUGUGUCAACUAAAUCAAGUGACUUGCCCUCAUGGUAAAGUCUCCAUGCCUAAACACAAAUGAAUACAAGUAAUAAACACAAAUGAGUUCAGUUUAUAAAUGAAUGGAUGUAUUCAACACACUUACAUGUCCAAGAAGGCUAUCAUCAUGGUGGUCUGCAUGAACAAAAGCGCUGUUUUUCUUCCCACUCACAAUUUCCAACACCAAAACCCCGAAGCUAAAAAUAUCUGACUUUACCGAGAAGAGUCCGUUUACUGCAUACUCUGGAGAUAAAGAAGACCCCGUGCAACCCCUUGAAUAAUGUGAAAGCGUUGUGUCCAAUCAAGUAAUGAUUUCCUUGAAUCAUCUGCUCGAUUGCCAUUAUCAAGGCCAAAAAAAUCAAUGCGGCUAAAAUUGACAAAGUAGCUUUAAUAACUUGCUGUUUCUUUCCAUUGCCUGAAUGGAGAUCUAAGAGAUAUUACAGAGUUAAAGCAAAUGAAAUCUUCUCAAGUUACAUAUAAUCCUUGAAAUGAGUGGAUUGAAACACAUCAAGUUGUCUUUGGUACAAAAAAAUCAUAUGUAGACUUGUUAAUAAUGAAGUCAAACAUCAUAACCAACUUAUAUGUUUGAGCAAUGUAUUUGCUUACCUAAGAAUUCAGAAUCUGCUAGCCUAAUGUAAAAAUCUUGUCCGUUUUCUGGGUACACUCGGACAUCAAUCAAAUCACCAAACCAUUGCAGACAUCCAAUUCCAUCUCCAGUCAUGUUAGUUGCAUAGGCGAUGCAUGAGCAAUUAUUCUUGCACGCUACCUCACAUUCCUCGAUGCUUGUGCUAUUGUUGAACAUGGCGUUCUGCGUGUCUGGCAGUUUCAUGCCUGAUAACAUCUUGAAAAACCCCUUUCCUGGCUCACAAUUUAAGGCUUUACUCCGCUGACAUCCACGGGUCCAGUUUUCACGGCUCAGUGGUUCAAACCCUUUCAAGCAUCCGCAAUUAGGAAAACUGGCGGUACUGCAGCUUCCAUAUGGGCCACACAGUGCAUAACUGUCACAAUUAUCGUUCGGAAAAAUGUCAACUUGAUACCACAAGUGGUUUUGCAUAUCCAUAUGCCAUAUCUCAAACAAGCCCCCAGGAGUUACUAUACUCCUAAAUGAGUAUGUGAUGCUAUUCAACGUACUUUCGAUAUAAAUCUCCUUCUGAUUCACAACCAUAUCAAAUUUAUGCUCAAAAAAGCUAUAAACUGGCAGGCCAGCAAACUGUAAGCCUUCAUAAGGACCAAUCCGUGCUUGAAUGACAGAGUUUUUUCUAAGAUACAAUUGCUGAUAUUUGUCCUUAACCAUUGAAAGUUUCAUUGUAUACUCACCAGGGGCAGGAUCAUCUACACUCCUCCACGACGUCAGGUACAUCUCUCUUCCUGUUACAAGGUUCUUUCCCACUUUCAUUCCUGGUAAGUAGGUAUCUCCAGGGUCAUCAAAACUUUGCCAAAUAACAUCAUUCUCAUCCCGAACUUCAAAGUUCCCAGUAUCCGUUAGUUGUGCUAUGGGACGACUAACGUUUUUGCUAGAUGAAGAAGAAGGCUUAGAUGACCAAAUGGCUAUCCCACCUACUUUAAGAAGAGACAGAAUUCCUUGGUUAUUCAAUUUGAGGACACCCAGGGUAUUUUUAAGGGGUAUUUUACGGUUUGCAACCCAGACAACAGUACGAGGAUUUGUGUUCUUAAACCAUAUUCCAAGUUUACUGGUGUUUACUGCACAAUAAGUAUCUUGAAUUAGAAAGAAAAAGGUUCAAGUUAUCUGGGAUAGCGAAUCUCGUAUGAGACCUAGGCGGGUAAAUUUGUGGUCAAUUUCUAACCAUUUUCCUAAUCACCUCGAAAUGUUAACUAGCAAGAUUCGAACUUAAAGUAAAAUCAAAUUGCCUAAGCGCUAGACCUGGAGGUGGUUAUUGACUUGCCAAAGACUGAAGACAUUUCAAUAAUACGAAGUUUACUAGAAAUGGCCCCUUAAGAAAAUGCCUAUCUGUAACGUUCGAAAAGAAAAUCGUUUCCACACCCAUUAGGCACAUUCCACUUGGUGUAACAUGGUACACAUGACUUCUUCGAUAGUGUUGAUUAGUCAUUAGUCAACGCCUUGCAGAAUGGAAAUGACUACGAUUCUACGAACAAGUUAGGAAAUGAAUAUACUGUUUCUAGAUGUUCAUUCAAGUUAUAUAAGUUUGUUUUUUAUUGGUCAUAUUACUUUUACAAUUUUUUUAUUGUAUAGUAUAAAAAUGUUGAUUCUUCAGUUCAAACAAAAUUUUACUUAUAUGGUAUAAAAUUGUUGCUUUAGGUUUUCA